RNAcentral lists this ribosomal RNA (120 nucleotides) under uncultured bacterium. Its description in RNAcentral is "partial 16S ribosomal RNA". It matches the Rfam family "Bacterial small subunit ribosomal RNA", at positions 215 to 334 of the family's 1533-position model. The record is from RNAcentral.
GCGCUAACAGAUGAGCCCAAGUCGGAUUAGCUAGUUGGUAGGGUAAUGGCCUACCAAGGCUACGAUCCGUAGCUGGUCUGAGAGGACGACCAGCCACACUGGGACUGAGACACGGCCCAG